AUUGAACGCUGGCGGCAGGCCUAACACAUGCAAGUCGAGCGGAUGAAGGGAGCUUGCUCCUGGAUUCAGCGGCGGACGGGUGAGUAAUGCCUAGGAAUCUGCCUGGUCGUGGGGGAUAACGUCCGGAAACGGGCGCUAAUACCGCAUACGUCCUGAGGGAGAAAGUGGGGGAUCUUCGGACCUCACGCUAUCAGAUGAGCCUAGGUCGGAUUAGCUAGGUGGUGGGGUAAAGGCCUACCAAGGCGACGAUCCGUAACUGGUCUGAGAGGAUGAUCAGUCACACUGGAACUGAGACACGGUCCAGACUCCUACGGGAGGCAGCGGUGGGGAAUGUUGUACAAUAGGCGGGAGCCUAAUCCAGCCCAGCCGCGUGUGUGAAGAAGGUCUUCGGAUUGUAAAGCACUUUAAGUUGUGAGGAAGGGCAGUAAGUUAAUACCUUGCUGUUUUGACGUUACCAACAGAAUAAGCACCGGCUAACUUCGUG
This 484-nucleotide ribosomal RNA is filed under the name uncultured bacterium. Its description in RNAcentral is "partial 16S ribosomal RNA". It matches the Rfam family "Bacterial small subunit ribosomal RNA", at positions 30 to 507 of the family's 1533-position model. The record is from RNAcentral.